AGGCGGUGUCCGGGGAUCUGGUUUCAUUCCCAUUGCAGAGUAUGGAAGUGAGUUUGUAAAGGGUUCUAGCAGAAAAGCUGUGAGGCUGUUGUUCAGCGGUAAGAACCAUUAUGACCUUCUGUUAUGAGAGGUUCUAGCAGAAAAGCUGUGAGGCUGUUGUUCAGCGGUAAGAACCAUUAUGACCUUCUGUUAUGAGGAAUUGUAUCGAUGAAGGAGGAAAAAGAAUUAUAAUAUCAAUAUGAUUCUAGUCAUAUUGUAAGUUCACUUCUGUUUUUAAAACUUAUUUCCCAAAACAAAGUAGUUACUUUUUUUUUCAUGUGUUAUUCUGAUUCUUUAGGAUUAUCUUAUUUUUAUUAUUUAAAAAAUUAUAUUUAUGUUGGGUUUCAGCCCAUUCUUUUAUAAAAAAAAUGUACGAUUAAGAAAUUUGGCACAUGAACAGUGAUUGGACACAAGCGAUUAAUGUCCUUUAGUUAUUUGGCACAUGAACAGUGAUUCUAGUCAAAUUAUUUGGGCAUUUCCGAUUUCAACCUCUAACUUAAA
This 540-nucleotide long non-coding RNA is filed under the name Lathyrus oleraceus (garden pea). Its description in RNAcentral is "Pisum sativum (pea) long non-coding RNA (PSAT_LNC032338)". Lineage: Eukaryota; Viridiplantae; Streptophyta; Magnoliopsida; Fabales; Fabaceae. The record is from RNAcentral.